AUGGGGACUCCCGAUUUACAGCUAAUCAGUCAGAAGCUCAGACUGAGAAAAUUGAUCUGCAGACCGGGAGACCGGAGCGCUGUGCCUGGCGAGAGGACGGUCGUCCGCGUGUUCACCGCCUCCUCCUCGGGCUUCGUGGCGAUAAAGAAGAAGCAGCAGGAUGUGGUUAGAUUUCUGGAAGCCAACAAGAUAAAGUCUGAGGAGGUGGACGUCACGAUGUCAGAAGAGCAGAGGCAGUGGAUGUACAAAAACAUCCCCCCGGAGAAGGAGCCUGUUCAGGGCAACCCUCUGCCACCUCAGAUAUUUAAUGGGGACCGAUACUGUGCAGAUUAUGACAGUUUAUUUGAAUCCAAGGAAAGCAACACAGUCUUUUCAUUCUUAGGCCUGAAAUCACAGUUGGCAUCAAAGGAAGAACCUUAGUGAAGACAAGUGGAAGAGGACGGAGAUGCAUUUUGCAGCACCCCUGGUACUCAGCACACACCUGCUUACCUAAUGCAUCAGUGUGACAGAAGCCACAUGCAUUAUCAGUAACUUUGCUUG
Molecule: RNA transcript, 540 nt
Organism: Aethalodelphis obliquidens (Pacific white-sided dolphin)
Lineage: Eukaryota; Metazoa; Chordata; Mammalia; Artiodactyla; Delphinidae
Gene name: SH3 domain-binding glutamic acid-rich-like protein 2 pseudogene
Exons: 2
Source: RefSeq, a predicted model, not a curated record